AACGGAGCGUAGAUUAAUUUGGUAAAGCGCUCGGUUUGGGUCCGAGAGAUGUGCAGGUUCAAAUCCUGUCUCCG
RNAcentral lists this transfer RNA (74 nucleotides) under Candidatus Competibacteraceae bacterium. RNAcentral's name for it is "tRNA-Pro". It matches the Rfam family "tRNA". From Rfam's summary of the family: Transfer RNA (tRNA) molecules are approximately 80 nucleotides in length. Their secondary structure includes four short double-helical elements and three loops (D, anti-codon, and T loops). Further hydrogen bonds mediate the characteristic L-shaped molecular structure. tRNAs have two regions of fundamental functional importance: the anti-codon, which is responsible for specific mRNA codon recognition, and the 3' end, to which the tRNAs corresponding amino acid is attached (by aminoacyl-tRNA synthetases). tRNAs cope with the degeneracy of the genetic code in two manners: having more than one tRNA (with a specific anti-codon) for a particular amino acid; and 'wobble' base-pairing, i.e. permitting non-standard base-pairing at the 3rd anti-codon position. Lineage: Bacteria; Pseudomonadati; Pseudomonadota; Gammaproteobacteria; Candidatus Competibacteraceae. The record is from RNAcentral.